Molecule: ribosomal RNA, 253 nt
Filed under: uncultured bacterium
Lineage: Bacteria
Description: partial 16S ribosomal RNA
Rfam family: Bacterial small subunit ribosomal RNA
Source: RNAcentral
UACAGAGGUGGCAAGCGUUGUUCGGAAUUACUGGGCGUAAAGGGCGCGUAGGCGGUCUCGUAAGUCCCGUGUGAAAUCCCUCGGCUCAACUGAGGAACUGCACGGGAAACUGCUUGGCUUGAGUUCGGGAGAGGGAAGCGGAAUUCCGGGUGUAGCGGUGAAAUGCGUAGAUAUCCGGAGGAACACCGGUGGCGAAGGCGGCUUCCUGGACCGAUACUGACGCUGAGGCGCGAAAGCUAGGGGAGCAAACGGG